GUGGUAUCCUGUCUGAAUAUGGGGGGACCAUCCUCCAAGGCUAAAUACUCCUGACUGACCGAUAGUGAACCAGUACCGUGAGGGAAAGGCGAAAAGAACCCCGGCGAGGGGAGUGAAAAAGAACCUGAAACCGUGUACGUACAAGCAGUGGGAGCACCUUCGGGUGUGACUGCGUACCUUUUGUAUAAUGGGUCAGCGACUUAUAUUCUGUAGCAAGGUUAACCGUAUAGGGGAGCCGCAGGGAAACCGAGUCUUAACUGGGCGUUAAGUUGCAGGGUAUAGACCCGAAACCCGGUGAUCUAGCCAUGGGCAGGUUGAAGGUUGGGUAACACUAACUGGAGGACCGAACCGA
RNAcentral lists this ribosomal RNA (352 nucleotides) under Klebsiella pneumoniae. Its description in RNAcentral is "partial 23S ribosomal RNA". It matches the Rfam family "Bacterial large subunit ribosomal RNA", at positions 426 to 782 of the family's 2925-position model. The record is from RNAcentral. Lineage: Bacteria; Pseudomonadati; Pseudomonadota; Gammaproteobacteria; Enterobacterales; Enterobacteriaceae.